This 253-nucleotide ribosomal RNA is filed under the name uncultured bacterium. Its description in RNAcentral is "partial 16S ribosomal RNA". It matches the Rfam family "Bacterial small subunit ribosomal RNA", at positions 524 to 776 of the family's 1533-position model. The record is from RNAcentral.
UACGGGGGGGGCAAGCGUUGUUCGGAAUUACUGGGCGUAAAGGGCUCGUAGGUGGCCAACUAAGUCAGACGUGAAAUCCCUCGGCUUAACCGGGGAACUGCGUCUGAUACUGGAUGGCUUGAGUUCGGGAGAGGGAUGCGGAAUUCCAGGUGUAGCGGUGAAAUGCGUAGAUAUCUGGAGGAACACCGGUGGCGAAGGCGGCAUCCUGGACCGACACUGACACUGAGGUGCGAAAGCGUGGGGAGCAAACAGG